Molecule: long non-coding RNA, 1222 nt
Filed under: Felis catus (domestic cat)
Lineage: Eukaryota; Metazoa; Chordata; Mammalia; Carnivora; Felidae
Description: lncRNA (ENSFCAG00000047930.1)
Source: RNAcentral
UCAGACAGCAGCUGGGAGGAAAUAACAGGUGACAGAAAGUUGCUUCAAGAAUCAGGUUCUAGGCCUGGCUGUGCCACUAUUUUUUUUUUUUUUUUUUGAGAGAGGGAGAGCACCAGUGGGAGAGAGGGAGAGAGAGAGAGAGAGAGAGGGAGGGAGAAUCUUAAGAGAAUCUUAAGCAGGCCUCAUACUCAGUGCAGAGUCUGAUGCUGGGCUGGAUCUACUGUGGGGUCAUGACCUGAGCCAAAAUCAAGAGUCGGAUGGCCAACCAACUGAGCCACCCAGGCGCCCCUCUGUCAUUAUUUUUGAGAACCAUGGCAAGCUCUUAUGCUCCCCUGAACCUUGAUUUCUUCAAUAGCAAAAAACAGAGAGUCUCUGGGUAAUAAGAUAAGGCAAAAUAGCUGCUACUACUUGAGUACAUCCCACUGGCAACAAGAAAGAGGACAAAAGCUAUUUUUCCAGUUCCUCUAGAGUUUGUCUCACCAAGAUCAAUAGCUGUCUGGGAGCUUGUCUCCUGGAUUCCUUUUCUCGUUCCCACAGACAGCCAACAGCCUAGCCUACCCUUCUUCACUCAAUGGGUCUCAUUUCCCAAAGGCUCAUGUUUCCUGCCAGGCAUUCCUAUUUAGGAAUAGAUAAAAGGAAUAUUCACUUGAUAGGUACUAUGGUUUGAACAUUGUUAUCCCCUCAAUAUUCAUCUGCUGAAAUCUCAACCCCUGAAGAUGAUGGGAUUAGGAGAUGGGAACUUCAGGAGGUGCGUAGGUCACGAGAGAUUAUGAGUGGGCUUGGUGCUUUAUAAAAGAGGCUCCAGAGAGUUCCCUGGCCCCUUCCACCAAGUGAAGAUAAAUGAGAAGUCUGUGAUCCAGAAGAGGGCCCUCAACUGACCAUGCUGGUACCCUGAUCUCAGGCUGCCAGGCUCCAAGACUGUGAGAAAUACAUUUCUGUUGUUUAUAAAUGACCCAAUCUGUGUGUUUUGUUACAGCAGCCCAAAUAGACUACAAAAGACCCCCAAAUUGUGGGGAUCACAACUGAAAGACCACCUGAAGGGGUGCCACAAAGGACCAUGCAUCUGUACAAAAGCACUAUCCAUUGAUUAUUCUAUCAACAACCAUUUAUUCAUUUUUUUGACCAUGAAAUGAUAGAUGGACUAUGACUUAAUCACUUGAAGCAAAUACCAUUAAAUCUCAAACCCCUUUUACUUGCCUCAGGGAUAGAGGAUGCAAAGUUC